Molecule: ribosomal RNA, 629 nt
Filed under: uncultured Acidimicrobiales bacterium
Lineage: Bacteria; Bacillati; Actinomycetota; Acidimicrobiia; Acidimicrobiales
Description: bacterial SSU rRNA
Rfam family: Bacterial small subunit ribosomal RNA
Source: RNAcentral
GUGAGGAAAUGCUCCGGCGCUUCGGGAGGGUCUCGCGACCUAUCAGCUAGUUGGUGAGGUAACGGCUCACCAAGGCAUCGACGGGUAGCUGGUCUGAGAGGACGAUCAGCCACACUGGGACUGAGACACGGCCCAGACUCCUACGGGAGGCAGCAGUGGGGAAUCUUGCGCAAUGGGCGAAAGCCUGACGCAGCCACGCCGCGUGAGGGAUGAAGGCUUUCGGGUUGUAAACCUCUUUCAGCAGGGACGAAAAUGACGGUACCUGCAGAAGAAGCUCCGGCCAACUACGUGCCAGCAGCCGCGGUAACACGUAGGGAGCAAGCGUUGUCCGGAUUUAUUGGGCGUAAAGAGCUCGUAGGCGGUUUAGUAAGUCGGGUGUGAAAACUUGAGGCUCAACCUCAAGAGGCCACUCGAUACUGCUGUGACUGGAGUCCGGUAGAGGAGUGUGGAAUUCCUGGUGUAGCGGUGAAAUGCGCAGAUAUCAGGAGGAACACCGACAGCGAAGGCAGCACUCUGGGCCGGUACUGACGCUGAGGAGCGAAAGCAUGGGGAGCGAACAGGAUUAGAUACCCUGGUAGUCCAUGCCGUAAACGUUGGGCACUAGGUGUGGGGUCUAGCUAACAGAUUCC